UUUUCAUUGUAAAAUUAAAAUUUUAUUUUUAUAAAUA
This 37-nucleotide transfer RNA is filed under the name Drasterius sp. UPOL RK0063. Its description in RNAcentral is "partial tRNA-Glu". Lineage: Eukaryota; Metazoa; Arthropoda; Insecta; Coleoptera; Elateridae. The record is from RNAcentral.